RNAcentral lists this ribosomal RNA (283 nucleotides) under uncultured bacterium. Its description in RNAcentral is "partial 16S ribosomal RNA". It matches the Rfam family "Bacterial small subunit ribosomal RNA", at positions 779 to 1061 of the family's 1533-position model. The record is from RNAcentral.
UAGAUACCCGGGUAGUCCACGCCGUAAACGAUGUCUACUAGCCGUUGGAAGACUUGAUCUUUUAGUGGCGCAGCUAACGCGAUAAGUAGACCGCCUGGGGAGUACGGCCGCAAGGUUAAAACUCAAAUGAAUUGACGGGGGCCCGCACAAGCGGUGGAGCAUGUGGUUUAAUUCGACGCAACGCGAAGAACCUUACCAGGUCUUGACAUCCUGAGAAUCCUUUAGAGAUAGAGGAGUGCCUUCGGGAACUCAGAGACAGGUGCUGCAUGGCCGCCGUCAGAAG